UACGUAGGGUGCGAGCGUUAUCCGGAAUUACUGGGCGUAAAGGGUGUGCAGGCGGGGUUUCAAGUGGUGUAUGAAAUAUCCCAGCUUAACUGGGAGGGGUUAUGCCAGACUGCAACUCUAGAGGACGAGAGAGGGGGGUGGAAUUCCGGGUGUAGUGGUGAAAUGCGUAGAGAUCCGGAGGAACCCCAGAGGCGAAGGCGGCCCCCUGGCUCGUACCUGACGCUCAGCCACGAAAGCAUGGGGAGCGAACGGG
RNAcentral lists this ribosomal RNA (253 nucleotides) under uncultured bacterium. RNAcentral's name for it is "partial 16S ribosomal RNA". It matches the Rfam family "Bacterial small subunit ribosomal RNA", at positions 524 to 776 of the family's 1533-position model. The record is from RNAcentral.